UUUUCCGGUGGCGAUUCCUAA
RNAcentral lists this non-coding RNA (21 nucleotides) under Caenorhabditis elegans. Lineage: Eukaryota; Metazoa; Nematoda; Chromadorea; Rhabditida; Rhabditidae. The record is from RNAcentral.